Molecule: ribosomal RNA, 492 nt
Filed under: uncultured bacterium
Lineage: Bacteria
Description: partial 16S ribosomal RNA
Rfam family: Bacterial small subunit ribosomal RNA
Source: RNAcentral
AGUGAACGCUGGCGGUAGGCCUAACACAUGCAAGUCGAACGGCAGCACAGUAAGAGCUUGCUCUUACGGGUGGCGAGUGGCGGACGGGUGCGGAAUACAUCGGAAUCUACUUUUUCGUGGGGGAUAACGUAGGGAAACUUACGCUAAUACCGCAUACGACCUACGGGUGAAAGCAGGGGAUCUUCGGACCUUGCGCGAUUGAAUGAGCCGAUGUCGGAUUAGCUAGUUGGCGGGGUAAAGGCCCACCAAGGCGACGAUCCUUAGCUGGUCUGAGAGGAUGAACAGCCACACUGGAACUGAGACACGGCCCAGACUCCUACGGUAGGCAGCAGUGGGGAAUAUUGGACAAUGGGCGCAAGCCUGAUCCAGCCAUACCGCGUGGGUGAAGAAGGCCUUCGGGUUGUAAAGCCCUUUUGUUGGGAAAGAAAAGCAGCAGGUUAAUACCCCGCUGUUCUGACGGUACCCAAAGAAUAAGCACCGGCUAACUUCGUG